Molecule: long non-coding RNA, 997 nt
Filed under: Equus caballus (horse)
Lineage: Eukaryota; Metazoa; Chordata; Mammalia; Perissodactyla; Equidae
Description: lncRNA (ENSECAG00000056529.1)
Source: RNAcentral
GAAAAAAUAUCUAUAAUGAAAAAUGUUGUACAUCUCAAUUUAAAUUCUUAACAACCACUGGUUCUUUAACAUGUUCCAGGUCCAAGGUCAUCAGCUACUGUUUCCUGCCAGCAAAGCUAAGUCACUAAAAGUUAACUUUCAGGUUUUCCUACUGAUUUCCAUAAGCUUGUAAUAGUAGGCCAUGAAGUUAUCAAACCUUCAUCUGUGAAAAACUUAUCUAAAGUGGUUGAAAAAAUAGGAGAUGCACUUGAAAACAUCAGGUUGGGUGUAUUGAAAUAAAAUAAGAAUUACAUAAAGAAAUGAAAAGUACAAUGUCGGUCCCAUUGUUGGCUUCUGCUUAUCAUUCCUGGCUGAAAUAGAAACUUCAGAUAAAAGAAUUGACUUGUAAAUGUGAAAGUUAACUCCGUUUAUACAAAAAGCGUAUUUGCCUCCCUUCUUUUCAGAUGUGAAUUUUAAAAUCUGUAUUAUAUUUGUGUGUUUGGAGAGAAACAAAAACAAUAGCAAGAAGAAAACAGGAAAAUAAAUAUACGUAUGGAUCAAAAAGCAAUUUAGAUGGCAAUUGCUCGAGUAGCGAUGAAAUAGUUUCUGGUGCCAGACUAAGUCAUUUGGAUCCUUUGCCGCUGUUGUGUUGUAUGGGAUCCCAUAGGAAAACAAAGGGAAGUGCUUUUCAUUUUUGGCCACAGCGCUUGAAAAUAUACAAGGAAUGGGGAGGAAAAGAGGGUGACAUCAAUGGUCAUAAAAAUGUGACCUUCGGCUUGAUAGCAUAAGACAAAUAAAAGGUUUCCACAGCACCUGGCAUUUAAACAUUAAAGGAAAUUGUGAGCACAACCCACUCUUUUACAAUGGAGCUAAGUAUUAUUGUGUGUUUCCAAAUAUUCCUCAUACUCGUUUUGGUCACUGAAAACUCAGUGUGCUACCUCGGAGAAGGACAAAACCCUCAGAAGCUAUGCUGAACAGGAGUCGUCUUUGCCACUUUGGGUAAAAGUCCUGUGAAUUU